GAUGAACGCUGGCGGCGUGCCUAAUACAUGCAAGUCGAGCGAACGGACGAGAAGCUUGCUUCUCUGAUGUUAGCGGCGGACGGGUGAGUAACACGUGGAUACCCUACCUAUAAGACUGGGAUAACUUCGGGAAACCGUAGCUAAUACCGGAGAAUAUUUUGAACCGCAUGGUUCAAAAGUGAAAGACGGUCUUGCUGUCACUUAUAGAUGGAUCCGCGCUGCAUUAGCUAGUUGGUAAGGUAACGGCUUACCAAGGCAACGAUGCAUAGCCGACCUGAGAGGGGGAUCGGCCACACUGGAACGGAGACACGGUCCAGACUCCUACGGGAGGCAGCAGUAGGGAAUCUUACGCAAUGGGCGAAAGCCUGACGGAGCAACGCCGCGUGAGUGAUGAAGGUCUUCGGAUCGUAAAACUCUGUUAUGAGGGAAGAGCAUAUGUGUAAGUAACUGUGCACAUCUUGACGGUACCUAAUCAGAAAGCCACGGCUAACUACGUG
This 497-nucleotide ribosomal RNA is filed under the name uncultured bacterium. Its description in RNAcentral is "partial 16S ribosomal RNA". It matches the Rfam family "Bacterial small subunit ribosomal RNA", at positions 28 to 507 of the family's 1533-position model. The record is from RNAcentral.